AUGUUUUUUUUGAAUGUUGCUAAUAAUAUAAUGAACUAUUUUUAUUAUAUAACUAAAGUAUGUAAAAUUCAUAUGGGAAAUAAUUUUGUAUUUGAUACUGUACCUGUUUGUAAAUUUACUAUAUGCACAUGUGCAGGAACUUUUGAUGAUUAUGCAAAAGAUGGUAACAUAUGUGUAGUAUGUAUGUCUGAAGAAAAGCGUGCAAUAGGUGACUAUACUUACAAUUUAAACGAGUGUUCAAGUGGUGAUGGUGAUGGUGGUAAUGGUAGUAAUGGUGGUAAUGGUAGUAAUGGUGGUAAUGGUAGUAAUGGUGGUAAUGGUAGUAAUGGUGGUAAUGGUAGUAAUGGUGGUAAUGGUAGUAAUGGUGGUAAUGGUAGUAAUGGUGGUAAUGGUGGUAAUGGUAGUAGUAGUAAUAGUAGUAGUAGUAGUAGUAAUGAUGGGGGUAGUGAUAAUGAUGGUGGUGGUGGUAGUAGUAGUAGUAGUAGUAGUAGUAGUAGUAGCUACAGUAACAGUAGCGAAUCCGGUAAGAAAAGUAAAAAAAAUGACAUCGAUAAUAUAAAUAAUAAAAACAAAAAAAGUAUAAAUAAAAAAAUAUAUAAUACAAAUAAAAAAAAAAAAAAAAAAACAUUAAUAAAUAUGGAUGUAGAAGAAUAUAGUAACAGGACGGAAACAGAAAUGAAUGAAAAAUAUUUAGAAUCGAGUACAAAAGAGAUUUUAGGUGAAAAUACAGACAGAAGCGAGAACGUAGAGAUAAACAGUGGUAUGAUCGAAAGCAUAACUAACGAAAGCAGAAUAAGUGAAGAUAGAAUCAGUGAGAAUAGUAUUAGUAAAAAUGAAACUACAAGUUUUAUAAAAAAAAAAACAAACAAACAAACAAACAAACAGAACGGAAUGGACGAACAGGACGAAAAUAUAAAAACUAAAAGAAGUAGCAAAAGUAAUAGAAGUAGCAAAAGUAAUAGAGAUGGUAAAAGUAAUAGAGAUGGUAAAAGUAAUAGAAGUAGCAAAAGUAAUAGAAGUAGUAAAAGUAAUAGAAGUAGUAUAAACAGUAUAAUUAGUAUACAUAGCGCAAAUAGCAUAAAUAGUAUAAAUAGUAUAAACAGCGUAAAUAACAUAAGUAACAUUAAAAAAACUAAUAAAAUUAAUAAAACAAAUAAAAUAAAUAAAAUUAAUAAAAUUAAUAAAAUAAAUCGAACAAAUAGUAUAAAUAGUAUAAACAGUAUAAAUAGUAUAAACAGUAUAACUAGUAUAAAUAGUAUAACUAGUAUAAAUAGCGCAACUAAGAAAAGUAAAAAAAAUAAAAUAAAUAACAUAAAUAACGUACAUAGAAAAAAUAGAACAAACAGUAUAAACAGUAUAAAUAGUAUAAAUAGCAAAAGUAGUAAAAGUAGUAAAAGUAGCAAAAGUAGUAAAAGUAGCAAAAGUAGUAAAAGUAGCAAAAGUAGCAAAAGUAGCAAAAGUAGCAAAAGUAGCAAAAAUAGCAAAAGUAGCAAAAAUAGCAAAAGUAGCAAAAGUAGCAAAAAUAGUAUAAAUAGCAAAAAUAGUAUAAAUAGCAAAAGUAGCAAAAAUAGCAAAAGUAGUAAAAGUAGCAAAAAUAGCAAAAGUAGCAAAAAUAGUAUAAAUAGCAAAAAUAAUAAUUCAGAUUUAGAGUGGGAAAAUUUCAUGCCACAUAACACUCUGAUUUCUCCUUGUUUUAUGAAUAAUAAAUAUGAUGAAGAAGAAGAAAAAAAAAAAAAUAUAAAAGUAGUACCAAAAAAAGGUAAAGAAGAAAAUGGUAAUAUUAAUAAUAAAGAUAUGAAACAUAUACAAAAAAAAAAAAAAAAAAUUGUUGAAAUGAAUAAAAAUAAAUCCUCUUCUUUAUUAAGUAAAAUGGACAAAGAAUGUAAUGAAAAUAUGAAUGAUCAUAAUAAAAAUGAAGCAAGUGAUUAUCACCUUAUAUAUCCUAUAUAUAAUGACAAAAAUGAUUAUAAUAAAGAUAGUGGUUAUGACAGUAAUAAUAAUAAAAAAACUUUAACUAAUAUUGUUCAAAAUAUAGAUCAUAACACAGAAAAUGAUAUAAAUAUAUAUACUAGUUAUAAUAAAAACUCAAAUAAUAAUAGAAUAAAUCAUAUUUUUAAAAAUAAUAUCUCACAAAACAGUAACAUACGUAUUAAAGUAGAAAAAAAUAUUUCAGAAAAUGUACAAAGAGAUAAAAUAAAUGAAUUAAAAAAUAGUAGCUAUAAUAAACCACCAUUUGAUGAGUAUACUAAAAAAAGUGCACUAAACAACAAAAAAGUCCUAAAUAACAACAAAGUCCUAAACAAUACUAAUUUUUUAAUGCAUAAAGAGAUUGUAAAAAAUAGAGAAACAAAAAUUAUACAAAAAAAUAUUGAUAGAAUGAGACAUAUGAUGAUAAAAAAAAAAAAGUUACAAACAAUUGAUAAAAAUAGUGACAAAAAAAGUGACAAAAAAAGUGACAAAAAAAGUGACAAAAAAAGUGAUAAAAAAAGUGACAAAAAAGGUGACAAAAAAGGUGACAAAAAAAGUGAUAAAAAAAGUGACAAAAAAAGUGACAAAAAAAGUGAUAAAAAAAGUGAUAUGAUUAUUCGUAAUGCUUUUAAUGAACUGUGUAUAGAAACUUAUAUUAAUAAAAUAUUUUUUUUUGAUAAUACAAAAAAUAAUUGUACAAUUACAUGUAUGAGUAAUAGUAACUAUAAUUCUAUGAUUAAUUUAUGUACAUAUUUAGAAAAUUAUACAGAUAGUAAUAAUGCCCAACUAUAUAACAAAGGUAUAUAUUUUCUUUGGAAAGAUACAUUGGAAGGUAAAAUAAUUCACUAUUUUAUUUUUAAUUACCACAUCUUUAUUAUUAAUUAUAAAUAUAAUAAUAUGUUUUUGAAUAUAUUCAAUACAGAAAGUCAAUUAAUUGUUUAUGAUUAUAUAUUACCUAUUAAUAGAAUAACCAAUUUUUUUGUUAUAAAAUUUAUACAACUUGAAAAUAAUGAAUAUGUUUUUUUUGUAUCCAUAAUAAUUAUAUUUAUUAUAUAUACCAACUAUUCAAUUACUCGGACAUUGUUAUUUUAUAUACAUUUAAUGUUAGUAAUUUAAAUGCGGAUGUUGAUUCAAUUCAAAUUAAUAUUAUUGAAAACUUAGAAAACAAUAAAAAUAUUUUUGAAAAAAAAAAAAAAAAAAAU
RNAcentral lists this long non-coding RNA (3170 nucleotides) under Piliocolobus tephrosceles (Ugandan red Colobus). RNAcentral's name for it is "lncRNA (ENSPTEG00000002594.1)". Lineage: Eukaryota; Metazoa; Chordata; Mammalia; Primates; Cercopithecidae. The record is from RNAcentral.